Corticium candelabrum is the source of this 3389-nucleotide RNA transcript. It is a transcript of the gene named synaptotagmin-2-like, with no coding region annotated. The record is from RefSeq and is a predicted model, not a curated record. The transcript is spliced from 9 exons. Lineage: Eukaryota; Metazoa; Porifera; Homoscleromorpha; Homosclerophorida; Plakinidae.
CUUCGACUGUGUACAGACACACUUUGCCGUCAAGCUUCUAGCUAGAAGGCUUAUAGACGAGGCAAACACUGAUCAUGAUGCGAUUGACGUUAAUUGGAGAAGGAAGGAAGAGCCUCAUGGUUGCAAACGUGAACACUUAGUCAAUGUCUAGACAUAUUUGCAAAUUGACAUUGUGUGGUUGAUACUGCACUUGGUAAGAGGAUGAAAUCCAUGCAGUUGCAGGCAUAAGUGCUUGCACGACUGUACAAAUGCAGUCACUGGCUCUGGUCUCACCUGUUUGCUGCUGCUACUUGUCAAUCGCUGAUCGUUCAGCUGGCGUCUCGACCUUUUUCAAACGACUUCAACGUUAUUGCAGCUCUUUGCGGCGUCUUUCCAAGCACUGCAUCCACACUUCAUUCCCGGUGUUAUGACAUCAGAGCGCUUACUAAUUCUAAAGAGUUCGAGGCGUUGCUUUUGUAUUCACAAGCAUGCAGCGGCGGAUGCGAUCAACCAUUUGCUGCGUGAGCUCCAACGACUAGACAACCUGCCAUGCUUGAAACAGUCGCAACAGAUCACGAUCAGAUGGCUAGAUCCAACAGUACCAACCGUGUUCCUGGAGAGCAUGCCAAUCAACCGAUGCUUCCCCUGUGGGUCACCCCAACUAUCUUGAUCGUCUGUAUUGCUUGUGGAUUAGUCCUCAUUUCAUGUUUACGUCGACAAUGGAAAAGAAACGGCAAGUUGCGAAGUCCCGAGGUUGCUGGUCAGACCGUCCUAUUGAGACCGGUAGAAAUCCGUACGAAAGCUCAACGGCCUUGGCAGCAAAUCGAACUCGAGAAGUUAAUGUUUUCAAACGGCGGCUCCCGUACAAUCGACUCUUUUCCAAAUCUUGGAAUGCAGCAUGAGAUCAACACGGAGAGCGUCUACCAUGCAGAUAUGUCGUCCGCACAUUCUUCUCCUUGCGUGUCUCCAAAACGUGCGGUGGCCUACAGAGCGUGGCAAAGUGAGAGAUCGGCCUCCGACUUUGGCCUAAAGGGAAGAAGCGGGCUCACAGAGACCCCGAUGGGGUCUCCGCCAGCAAGAAAGCUGAAAAGAACGCAAACGAUAGAAACCCCGAGCGCAUGGAAACCCAGCGUGCAGCCUUUUUUCAGGGAUGAUAAUUUGUUGCCUCGUUCUCAGUCUCUGCAAUCUUUAGUUCUCGACUACUCGCAUUGCUCUCUAUCCCGUCAGCGGAGCGACACCGAUUUGAGACGCUUGGCCAUGCAGAAUCUCAGCAGCCACCCGCACCAGCAAGGGUCACUGGAAACAUCAGCUCAUCAGACUGUAGAGAAAAGGGAUGGAAAUUUUAUCGAGUUUGAAGCUCAGUACGACUCACACGGCAUGCGGUUGGUCGUCGGCCUUAGCAAGUGUUACUGUAAUAGAGUAAAGCGGAGCAAAGGAGGUAAGAAAGAUGGUGCUCCUGUCACCAGUUUGUUCGCAACCGUUUGUCUUCUGCCCGACUAUCGGGUCAAAUAUCAGACGAGGAUACACUACGAUGAGAUACAUCCGCAAUUCAAUGAACAGUUUACGUUCAGCGAUGUGACUCUGCCUGCUCUGCCUAAACGGCGCAUUUUUGUGGCUGUAUACAACAAUGAGGGAAAGACACAGAAGCUGGUGGGUGCGUGUGAUGUGUCUCUUCGAGAGGUGAGCGUCACUGGUAGACCGACGGCUUUCUAUGAAGAACUUUUGUCGACUAAAAAGUCGAAACUGAACUUUGAUCCCAAAAAGCUAGCAGUGGUGGCCACAGGGAGAGGUGACAUCCUGAUUUCUCUAGUCUACAUGGACUACACUAACAAACUCAACGUAAUCAUUAUGAAAGCAAGAGACCUUCACCAUCCAGACACAAUCGGAUUAUUUGAUUCUUCUUGCGACGUUCAGCUUCUUGUCACCAGAGUGAAAUUCGAGCACAAAAAGACGACCGUCCGCAAACGUACAAAAAACCCCGUAUGGAACGAAGUAUUUCAAUUUGACGUUGCAGGGAGGGACCUAGCAGACUGCAGCAUUGCUGUCGUUGUCAACGCUACAGACAGGCUCCAACGUUCGUAUGUCGUUGGAAGAGUGGAGAUCGGCUGCAGAGGAGGCGCAGUAGCACAGAAACAGUGGCAAACGCUCAUCGACAAUCCGCGACGGCAAUCAGCUGAGUGGCACGAGAUCAGAAAUUGAAUCAUCCGAGUGUUGACACGCCCACUUGAACUUCCGUUCUAACUGCGCAAUUGUGAGGCAAUUUUCUCUAGUCUUAGCGGAUGUUGAGACGGUGUACAUAGGAGCUUGUGAAGUUAGCUAUCACUGGUUUCCACGUGUACAACAAUGGCUUCGCUCAGCGCUCGUUUGGCCGACACCGAGAAACAGAUGGAAACGACGAUUAGGGAAGUACGAGUGAAAAUGGCGACGAUGAGACAACACGAUCUCGAUAUGCACAAACGGUUAGAAGAUAUGAGACGUGCAAUCCAAGAUCUUAAUAUAGAAGUGAUGAGUCGCUUGGGAGGUGACAGAAGCCGUCAAGGAAGCCUAUGUCGUCCUGCAACCGAUCGUUCGUCCGUAAUUAGUUCUAACAAAUUGCCCAAGAUUGAUACGAAACUUUCAUCACCUUUGGAUGAAAAUUCAAUUCCAACUAUUUCUUUCAGUGUAGCCACACCUCCCUUAUUAAGGAGAGGACACUCGAAGGGUUCAGAAGACGUUGUCAGUGAGUCGAGUCUUCUUUCAGAAUCUGGUGGUGAAGAUGUACCGGACCAUGUACCCCCUAUGUCUCCUCUCCUUUCUGAUGUUGUCAGCAUUAGAAGUGCAGUAAGUGAGGGAGCAUUGUCUCAUUCUCGAUAUCGACACAGCAUGAUACUCGAAGGAGAGAAGGUAACUCUCAGACGUGAAAGGAGUCACUCUAUUGAUUUAAAGCCAAAUUCAGCUUCUGAGCCGAGGAAAAGAUCAUCUACAAUGAUUUUCUCUAGCAAACAAACUUCUGAGGCAAACAGUACACCUACAUCAACUAGAAAGGGACUAUUGAAAGCUUUAAAGUUAUCCUGGUUUAAGAAGACUUCGUCUAGUGAUAGCAAGAAAAGGAAGCAUUCAGUCGAUGAAGGAAAGGUUUCUCACUGACUAUAAUAGCACAUCCAGGAUACGAGGACGUAAAUAGAACUGGAGUCAAUCUAACUGUAUUGAGUAUCAUUUGAAUGUGUCUCUAGAAGUAUUUUGAAACAGCUCGUGGAUACUUAGUUAGUCGAUUUUGCUGAUCACUUUUUGAUGUAAACUCUGUACAGAUGCUUGUAAUGGACAUUGCUUACCAACAUGUACUGUGCGAUAUAAUUGCACUUGAUAAAAGAGCCUCAUGACACUACAUAGCUAAAAACUUUCAAAUGCAAUGACAUUAUUUUUAGAAUUAG